Non-coding RNA from Danio rerio (zebrafish), 1634 nucleotides. Lineage: Eukaryota; Metazoa; Chordata; Actinopteri; Cypriniformes; Danionidae. The record is from RefSeq and is a predicted model, not a curated record.
CAAAUAUUUAUCAAGCUUGCUAUGAAUGCUGCUUUUAUUUUAAGUUCAACAUUCUGUAUUGUAAGAGGAUAUAGUGACAUUCUUGUUAACUUCCUAUUAGAUGCAAGUUCCUUCUUUACAUACAGUAAAUGCAAGGACUAUUACUACAGACACAAAGUGACAUCGGGAGAACAAAAUGUCCACCUCAGAAGAGACCGCAGUUUACUUAUAAGCUUUUACAAAUACUUCAGAUUUUGGAUUCAUAGUUAAAAUGUGGUAGCCAUUUAAACUGAACUGGAAAUGUCUGGGUUUGUGAAUGCUAGUAUGGACAAAAGUUCAUCGAUGGAAUCAGAUGACAGAAUAGAGAAGACAGUAGAUAUCUACAUCACUGCAGAGGCUGUAAGAAACAUGAAGCAUGGCAAUAAUACAAAGGACUUUAACACUCAAAUAUCAGAAUUUCAAACACCUCAACACACAGGAAGCAAUUCUGUCAAAAACAGAAACUCCAGAGCAGCUCUAGUGUGUUUGGUGCUGCUGUGUUUUCUUCUGCUGACUGCAGUCAUAGUGCUGAGUGUCUUCAUCUAUACAAACAACACAAACUACACUGAAGAGAGACGCCAGCUAAUAACCAACAUCUCCAACAUUACAGAAAAGAGUAAUCAGCUAAUACAUAAAAACACAAAUCUCUUGAAUGAGACAGACCAGCUAAAAUGGAAGAAGGACAAUCUUCUGAAUCAGCUGAAAAUAAUUCUGACUGCUGGUAAAUUGUUUAUUUUUAGUCUAUGUCCUAAUUCUCUAUACAGAAGACAUUGUCAAAAACAUGCUGGAGAAUGUUGUGGUGUAUUUUAGCAUGCACUUAAAUAUAUCAUGACUAUAGUGGCUGAGUGUAAAUGGGAAUAACAAGUAUACUUGUUCUGUUAACAGGUGGAUGGACUUACAAUCAGUCCAGUUUUUACUACAAGUCCAAUGCAUUAAAAAGCUUGGAUGAGAGCAGAAGUGACUGUAUAGCGAGAGGAGCAGAUCUGAUCAUCAUAAACAACUCAGAGGAACAAGAUUUUGUUAAGAGAAUGGCUGGUAGCGCAGUCUGGAUUGGUCUGAAUGACACUGUUGCUGAGGGCAUAUGGACAUGGGUUGAUGGCAGUGCACUGAAUAAUAAGUGAGAAAUCAGAAAACUAAACUAAUUGUUAUUUAAUAAAUGAUUCUCACAGUCAUUAUCAUAACAUACUGAACGCAGCCCUAUACUUCUGAUUUUGAUUUGUAGUUUGAGCUUCUGGGCAUCUAAAGAACCAAAUGGAGGCAGAGGAGAGAACUGUGCUGUGUCUGCUGAAAAAGUGACAGCCUGGCCUUCUUUGUCAGGGUGGGUUGAUGUCUCAUGUGACAGAAGAUUUCAGUGGAUCUGUGAGAUUAAUAUUUCACAACUCAUAUAAAACUUUAGUGUCAACUGACUUACAUGUAAAAUAGUGUUUUUCAUCCUUGAUCCUCAUGGAUCUUCAACUGCUGCACAUUUUAAUAAUUUUUAAUAAUAAUGUUUAGUGCAUUGACUGCUUCUUCUCUUUAUUUUGUUGUUUCACAUGUUUGCUGUUGAAAAAAAAUAUAUAUAAACAAAUAAGCCUAUGUUUUUUCUCAUUUGUGUUUAAUUGAUGAACAUGGACAGA